UACGGAAGGCAGCAGUGGGGAAUAUUGCACAAUGGGCGAAAGCCUGAUGCAGCUAUGCCGCGUGUAUGAAGAAGGCCUUAGGGUUGUAAAGUACUUUUCAUCGGGGAGGAAAAACAAAACUAAUAAUUUUAUUUCUUGACGUUACCCGAAAAAGAAGCACCGGCUAACUCCGUGCCAGCAGCCGCGGUAAUACGGAGGGUGCUAGCGUUAAUCAGAAUUACUGGGCGUAAAGAGCACGUAGGUGGUUUUUUUAAGUCAGAUGUGAAAUCCCUGGGCUUAACCUGGAACUGCAUUUUGAAACUGAAAUACUAGAGUAUCGUAGAGGGAGGUAGAAUUCUAGGUGUAGCGGUGAAAUGCGUAGAUAUCUGGAGGAAUACCUGUGGCGAAAGCGGCCUCCUAAACGAAUACUGACACUGAGGUGCGAAAGCUGGGGAGCAAACAGGGAUUAGAUACC
This 454-nucleotide ribosomal RNA is filed under the name uncultured bacterium. RNAcentral describes it as "bacterial SSU rRNA". It matches the Rfam family "Bacterial small subunit ribosomal RNA", at positions 340 to 786 of the family's 1533-position model. The record is from RNAcentral.